This 253-nucleotide ribosomal RNA is filed under the name uncultured bacterium. RNAcentral's name for it is "partial 16S ribosomal RNA". It matches the Rfam family "Bacterial small subunit ribosomal RNA", at positions 524 to 776 of the family's 1533-position model. The record is from RNAcentral.
GACAGAGGUGCCGAGCGUUAGGCGGAAUCACUGGGCUUAAAGCGUGUGUAGGCGGGUCGUUAAGUGUCUUGUGAACUCCCCCGGCUCCACCGGGGAAUGGCUGGGCAUACUGGCGAUCUUGAGCAGUCUAGGGGCAGAUGGAACAAGUGGUGGAGCGGUGAAAUGCGUAGAUAUCACUUGGAACGCCAAAGGUGAAAACAGUCUGCUGGGGACGUGCUGACGCUGAGACACGAAAGCCAGGGGAGCGAACGGG